Long non-coding RNA from Episyrphus balteatus (marmalade hoverfly), 807 nucleotides. RefSeq lists it as uncharacterized. Lineage: Eukaryota; Metazoa; Arthropoda; Insecta; Diptera; Syrphidae. The transcript has 2 exons. The record is from RefSeq and is a predicted model, not a curated record.
ACCUAUAGAGCAAGUAAAAAGAAUGAUUGAAUAUUUUUUUGUUGAUAUUUUAGUGUUAAUGCAUAAGUGCUUCUGAUUUUAAAUCGAGAAAAGAAUUUCUCUUCUGAGAAGCGUUCUAACUGUCAUUUUCAUGCCAAUAAAACUGUUUUUAAUAGCUUUUAAAAAACUUCGGGUUAGCACAUUUUAAGAGUACCUGCCCAUUUUAGAGUAAAACUGCUGCGUGUUGUUAUCAGGCUUCCUGAGUUUUUUUUAAGUUAGCUAACUCUCAACGACAACUUACAGCAGUUUUAAAACAUAUUUGUUGACUUUUAAAAAUUUUGUAUUGGGAACAUUUUUUUACGUUGAACUAGACGAGUAAAAAAAUUUGAACAAUCCUUCUUACAGGCGGACAUACAAAACUCCAAAGGAAACAAUCACAAUUCGCAAUUCGGUGGGACAUUACUCAACAAUUGCAUUAUGAACUUAUAUCCCAUUCAAGACAUUUAAACAAAAGUCUGUGUUGCUUUGACCCGUUCCAGACAAUCUUGUUGACCCGAGAUACCUAUUCCAAUACGCAAAAAGCAAUCAAAACAAAUAUCUGUACUAACAUCGCCAUUUUGUAAUUAACGAGUCAAUAUCCAUCAAAAGUGUCAACAUUUGAUGAGGUUGACUAAAACGAGGUUCAUCCCUGUAGAAAUUAAUCAUAAUGGCUCCUUGCAUUGCUCUGUGGCUAAAUCGACGAUCACCACGUGACACCAUUGCAUUGUGUACAUUUGGAUCGAAAAUACUGCGAUAGACUUCACGGCGCUUUUCAAUAUCCAUAAGUCG